RNAcentral lists this unclassified non-coding RNA (274 nucleotides) under Dothideomycetes sp. Its description in RNAcentral is "partial contains 5.8S ribosomal RNA, internal transcribed spacer 2, and large subunit ribosomal RNA". The stretch from base 1 to 71 matches the Rfam family "5.8S ribosomal RNA", at positions 84 to 154 of the family's 154-position model. The record is from RNAcentral. Lineage: Eukaryota; Fungi; Ascomycota; Dothideomycetes.
GUGAGUCAUCGAAUCUUUGAACGCACAUUGCGCCCCUCGGUACUCUGGGGGGCAUGCCUGUCCGAGCGUCAUUGAAGACUAUCAAGCAUGGCUUGGUCUUGGGCGAGGUCUGGGGACCCGCUCGCAACCCGUCGGCGGUGUCGGUUCGGCCUUGAGCGUAGCAGAAUACUCGCUCAGGGGCCGUGGCGGCUCUCGCCAGCACAUUCUACCCAUAGUUUGACCUCGGAUCAGGUAGGGAUACCCGCUGAACUUAAGCAUAUCAAUAAGCGGAGGA